This 323-nucleotide unclassified non-coding RNA is filed under the name soil metagenome. RNAcentral's name for it is "partial contains 5.8S ribosomal RNA, internal transcribed spacer 2, and large subunit ribosomal RNA". The stretch from base 1 to 120 matches the Rfam family "5.8S ribosomal RNA", at positions 35 to 154 of the family's 154-position model. The record is from RNAcentral.
GAUGAAGAACGUAGCGAAAUGCGAUAAGUAAUGCGAAUUGCAGAAUUCAGUGAGUCAUCGAAUCUUUGAACGCACAUUGCGCCCUGUGGUAUUCCGCAGGGCAUGCCUGUUCGAGCGUCAUUUCAACCCUCAAGCUCUGCUUGGUGUUGGGCCCUGCCCGCUGCGGCCGGCCCUAAAGACAGUGGCGGUGCCGCCUGGCCCUGAGCGUAGUACAUCUCUCGCUCCAGUGCCCGGUGGUAGCCUGCCAGAACCCCAACUCUCGUGGUUGACCUCGGAUCAGGUAGGGAUACCCGCUGUACUUAAGCAUAUCAAUAAGCGGAGGA